This 253-nucleotide ribosomal RNA is filed under the name uncultured bacterium. RNAcentral's name for it is "partial 16S ribosomal RNA". It matches the Rfam family "Bacterial small subunit ribosomal RNA", at positions 524 to 776 of the family's 1533-position model. The record is from RNAcentral.
UACGGGGGGGGCAAGCGUUGUUCGGAAUUACUGGGCGUAAAGGGCUCGUAGGUGGCCAACUAAGUCAGACGUGAAAUCCCUCGGCUCAACCGAGGAACUGCGUCCGAUACUGGUGGGCUUGAAUCCGGGAGAGGGAUGUGGAAUUCCAGGUGUAGCGGUGAAAUGCGUAGAUAUCUGGAGGAACACCGGUGGCGAAGGCGGCAUCCUGGACCGGUAUUGACGCUGAUGCGCGAAAGCCAGGGGAGCAAACGGG